Carya illinoinensis is the source of this 629-nucleotide long non-coding RNA. RefSeq lists it as uncharacterized. The record is from RefSeq and is a predicted model, not a curated record. The transcript is spliced from 2 exons. NCBI's taxonomy places the organism in Eukaryota, Viridiplantae, Streptophyta, Magnoliopsida, Fagales, Juglandaceae.
AAAUCGAAUUAGCCUUAGAAUAUUAAUGAAAGCCAUCUUAUUUUUUCAGAACUAGUAAUACAUUGUUGAUGGAAGCCGCUAUUCUCGUCAUGCAAUAGUGGAUUGGCUCAAAAUCCAAUUUGCAACCAAAUCCGGCAUUACUCAGCACGGGGCCCAGUGCUGCGACCCCAAAUGCAUUAAUGGAUGUUUGGGGAAGACAAGAAUGAUGAUGCUAGGGUGCAGUGUUCUCUGCAACUGGAAAAGGCAUCAGACAAAAAGGGGUGGUUAUCUCUAUUCACAACAGUGAUAUGGCUAAGCUUGGGCUGAUCAUGAGCUGUGCAACCAGGACGAGUUUUCGUGGAUUAGUGUUCACCAACUUUGGGUGCCAGUGAAUGAAAAGUCCCACAGUAUUACUUUGUGCCAAACUAAUAAUGGUAGCCCUUGGUUACCAAUAUUAGUUUGAGUAUAGACAAUUAGUAGGUAAUGGUGAUGUUUUGUAUAUUAUAUAAAAAUUAGCUCAGCUUGUACUUGAUAUGACUCAAUAUAGUGCACCACCCAGUGAGAAAUUAUAUAUAGUCAAUUAAGUCAAUUAUACUGCUAAUUAUUCAUGAUAAAUUGAAUUGUUCACAAUGGAUAUAAUUGUGUAUGUA